This 465-nucleotide ribosomal RNA is filed under the name Vreelandella stevensii. Its description in RNAcentral is "partial 16S ribosomal RNA". It matches the Rfam family "Bacterial small subunit ribosomal RNA", at positions 338 to 795 of the family's 1533-position model. The record is from RNAcentral. Lineage: Bacteria; Pseudomonadati; Pseudomonadota; Gammaproteobacteria; Oceanospirillales; Halomonadaceae.
UCUACGGGGGGCUGCAGUGGGGAAUAUUGGACAAUGGGCGAAAGCCUGAUCCAGCCAUGCCGCGUGUGUGAAGAAGGCCUUCGGGUUGUAAAGCACUUUCAGUGGGGAAGAAAGCCUUGGGGCUAAUACCCUCGAGGAAGGACAUCACCCACAGAAGAAGCACCGGCUAACUCCGUGCCAGCAGCCGCGGUAAUACGGAGGGUGCGAGCGUUAAUCGGAAUUACUGGGCGUAAAGCGCGCGUAGGCGGUCUGAUAAGCCGGUUGUGAAAGCCCCGGGCUCAACCUGGGAACGGCAUCCGGAACUGUCAGGCUAGAGUGCAGGAGAGGAAGGUAGAAUUCCCGGUGUAGCGGUGAAAUGCGUAGAGAUCGGGAGGAAUACCAGUGGCGAAGGCGGCCUUCUGGACUGACACUGACGCUGAGGUGCGAAAGCGUGGGUAGCAAACAGGAUUAGAUACCCCGGUAGUC